Hyaena hyaena (striped hyena) is the source of this 78-nucleotide small nucleolar RNA. RefSeq annotates it as small nucleolar RNA SNORD20. NCBI's taxonomy places the organism in Eukaryota, Metazoa, Chordata, Mammalia, Carnivora, Hyaenidae. The record is from RefSeq and is a predicted model, not a curated record. The transcript has a single exon.
UAGAGAGAAAUAAAAGAAGUAGAAGAGGGAUGAUGGAAUCUCAAGAAAAUUCCUCUAGGUAGUUAAGUUCUGACCCAG